UCAAUAUUUCCUAAUCCGAUUUGUUGAUACCGAAGCCCUGACUGUUCCCGCAGUUGGGGCUUCACU
Molecule: non-coding RNA, 66 nt
Filed under: Escherichia coli
Lineage: Bacteria; Pseudomonadati; Pseudomonadota; Gammaproteobacteria; Enterobacterales; Enterobacteriaceae
Source: RNAcentral